Molecule: ribosomal RNA, 501 nt
Filed under: uncultured bacterium
Lineage: Bacteria
Description: partial 16S ribosomal RNA
Rfam family: Bacterial small subunit ribosomal RNA
Source: RNAcentral
AUUGAACGCUGGCGGCAGGCUUAACACAUGCAGGUCGAGCGGAGCGAAGGUGCUUGCACCUUAGCUUAGCGGCGGACGGGUGAGUAAUGCUUAGGAAUCUGCCUAUUAGUGGGGGACAACGUUUCGAAAGGAACGCUAAUACCGCAUACGUACUACGGGAGAACGCAGGGGAUCUUCGGACCUUGUGCUAAUACAUUAGCCUAUGUCGGAUUAGCUAGUUGGUGGGGUAAAGGACUAGCAAGGCGACGAUCUGUAGCGGGUCUGAGAGGAUGAUCCGCCACACUGGGACUGAGACACGGCCCAGACUCCUACGGGAGGCAGGAGUGGGGAAUAUUGGACAAUGGGCGAAAGCCUGAUCCAGCCAUGCCGCGUGUGUGAAGAAGGCCUUUUGGUUGUAAAGCACUUUAAGCGAGGAGGAGGAGCUUCAGGUUAAUACCCUGGAUGCUUGGACGUUACUCGCAGAAUAAGCACCGGCUAACUCUGUGCCAGCAGCCGCGGUAA